ACAGAUGCCCAAGGCCCCUUGGCGCUAAUAGAGCUAGAACUUGAUCCCACCCUGUGUGACUCCAGACAGCUCUGGCCCGCUCCUGCCUGGGAACUGAAAGGCCUAGAUUUGGGAGCACCACUAACUGGCUGUAACCUUGGGCAAGUCCUUUCUCUCCAGCCUCAAGCUCUUCCUCUAAACAAGGAGGGCAGACAACAGGGUCACUGAGGGCCCUUCCAGUCGGAGCUGACAUUCUUGGAAGUCUAAACCAACUCGCCUCCCCCCGCUGGCUGAGUGGGGGAAAGGCUGCCAGAACAUCCUGCAGCAUCUCAUUGGGCCCCCUUGCCCAGGGCACAGGGCAGGCCUUUCCCCAGAGAGCACUCCUCUGCCCAGCCCGGGGAGCACAAGGCCUCCUCCACUCCCUUCCAGCUCAUUGCAGAUGGGUAACAGUCUGUGGAUUGGCCGUGGUCUGAGGACACCUCUUUGAUAGCAUCGAUUCAGGCUGUUGAGAGGUGGACGCUGGCGUUGCAGAACCUCUCAGAUUGCCAGAAGGAACAAGGCUCCUGCAUCCCUGUUCCCCUAAGCAGGUACUUCUGGACACCAAGUCAAUUAACCUCAAGAUGUCCCAGGCCAGGCGCGCUGCGCUGACUUACGGCUGGAUCCCUCCUUCCAUCCCAGUCUGUCUCCCAGGACCUUCAGGAUGUACAUUGUUAUUAAAGUGUCCCCGCCAGUGGCCCCUGAUAAGCAUACAGAGCUGUGGGGUCGGGGUUGGAGUGGGGCGACCUGGGAGAGAGAAGUACGUACAGGUAGAGGCCCGCCUUCUUUGAUUCCAACGCUAUACAAAACUUGGCCCAAGCAUCACCUCCUGCAGAAAGUCAUCCCGGGCCUGCAGCCAGACUGAGGGCCCCCGCCUGCGCUGCUGCAUCACAGAACAGGUCUCCCUGCAUUCACAUGGAACAGUUGACAUAGUAAAUUCGAAGGUGGUGCCAGCGCCUCUGGGGGUUGGAGGUGGUGUCACCUGCCUUGGUUCGAGGGUCUGACCAGAUUUCAGGGCUUGUCUGGGUGCCCCUGCGCAGGGUACAGUCUGUACAACUCUAAGCAGUGGCCCAGGUAGUUGGAGCUCCAGGCCCAUCUCUGGCAGACUUCAGGGGACUGGGGAGCGGGAAUUGUGUCUGGGACGUUGCAUCUUGAGUACAGAGGUCUCCGCCUGGUUGAGCAACAGAAAACACUGGCUUAAAAAAAUGUAGACACUCUGGCUCCAAUUUUAGGAAUUCUACCUCCAGAGGUCUGACAAGGGUCCUGAGUCUCGAAAACUUUUUUUUUUUUUUGAAGAUGAUUAGCCCUGAGCUAACUGCUGCCAAUCCUCCUAUUUUUUGCUGAAGAAGACUGACCCUGCCUGAGCUAACAUCUGUGCCCAUCUUCCUCUACUUUCUAUGUGGGACGCCUGCCCAGCAUGGCUUGCCAAGCGGUGCCAUGUCCACAUCCGGGAUCUGGGCUGGCGAACCCCGGACACCAGGAAGUAGAAUGUGCACACUUAACUGCUGCGCCACCGGGCUGGCCCCUUGACAUUUUGAAAAAGUGCCAUGUGACUCUGAUGCCCAGCUGCUGUCUGACCCAUAAGAGGUGUCUGGUGACUGUGCUCAUAGAAGUGCAGCACGUCUGUGAAGGGACACACAGGGAUCUGUGGCCUGCGGGGAGGGGAGCUGGGGGACAUCAGAGGAAGAUGAGUCACUUUUUGUUAUACAUCUUUUUGUACUGAUUGGACUUUUAACCUAAAAAAAAUGUUUGACCAACUGAUGUUGUUGCUGUCAUCUACGUGAGGGACCACCAACUCUAGGCCUGCGGCUGGGGCCUGCUGUCCGGCGAAGGACAGGAGCAGGCCAGAGGAACGG
Equus caballus (horse) is the source of this 1871-nucleotide long non-coding RNA. The record is from Ensembl. NCBI's taxonomy places the organism in Eukaryota, Metazoa, Chordata, Mammalia, Perissodactyla, Equidae.